GGCUGAUAAAAAAAAAAGAAAAAAAUUAAAUUAAUCAAAACAUAAUAUGUAUCAGGCAUAAUAUGCAUGCGUCUUUAAUCUUCACAAAACCAACAGGGUAUUAUUAUUACUGCUACUCUUAUUAUGGUUGUUCUAAUGAUUACUAGUGGGAAACUACAAAUUACAUAGAUUACAUAACUUGCCCAAAUUAUCAAAGUUAGAAGUAAAUGGUUAAGUAUCCAGUUUGUUACUUGCUAUUUUCCAGAAGUAACACUCUUAAUCACUAUGUUGAUUCAAAUAAGCCUAAGAAGAGAAAUGGCUUCCUCCCAUGUUGAAGGGUGUAAAUCAGGGGAGCAAAGUCAGGCAAGAUCGUCUCACUUCAGGAAAACAAUGUUUCCAACUGUUUGCCCACAGUCAUGCAAAUUUUCAAGUCUUUCAAACAGUGCUAGUAGUGAAGCAAAAAGUAGUAUAAUUAUAAGUGUGAUCCCUGUAAAUCUACCAAAAGGUCAUCAAUUUAGAUUUGAUGAAAUCUCAAUGUGCUUGUGGGCAUUUUCGUGUUUUCCAUGCAUUUGCCCAAAUUCGCUAAUAUGCCUAAUAGCCUUUAUCAACCCAAAUCAUGACUGAUAAUAGUUAUUUUUACCAUUUGUGAGCACAUCUAAUUUAAAGUCUGUAAUUAACAAAGCAAGUGUAGUAAGUAUAUGACAUAAUGAUGUAGUAUCUUUAACAAUUAUGUUCUCUUGGGGGUAAGUAUGGCAAAUAAGCUUACACAGAGAUUUUCCCAUGAAAACAAAGUUUAUUUAAACAUAGUAAGAGGAAAAUAAUCAUCCCUCUUUUUUGUCACUAAAAUUGAAACAGAAUGUAGUGGAUGCUAGGUACUACAUUAAUGUGUAAAUUAUACAGAAUAUUCUCAUCUCCUCUUUCUGCCCACUAAUAGGAUUUAUAAGGCAGUGAUAGCCAUCAUGUAUUAGAGAUGCGAUGCACAUAAAUGUUCCCCAUUUUUUUUUCUGUCAACUCUUGAGAGUGACCCAUGCCAUUAGGUAAUGGGCAGCUUUCUUGUUACAUGCGCUUCACAGAGUGGAUGAUGUGACUAAGUGGAGAACUGCACUCCCCAACUGGGACUAAUGUAUAGAGGAGCUAUUGGAAGUAAAAAUCAAACACAGGAGUCUUUCUCCAUCAAGAGAAAAAUAGCAGUUUGAUGAAUUAUGGGAAUCACAAGUUACCUCUAUAUCAGUUUCUCAAUUUGACACUUUUACUAAUAUUUUUGGUCAGGAAGCUCUUUGUGGUGGAGGACUUUCCUGUGCCUUGCAUAAUGUUUAGCAGCAUCUCUGGACUUGACUCACUACAUGCCAGUGGUACCACUGCAGUUGCGAUGAUGAAAAAUGUUUCCAGACUGCGAAAUGUGCCCUGGUGGGGCAGGAGGAUGAACUUAUUCCUGGCUGAGAACCAUUGCCUAAUAUAAAAUGCCCCAAAUCAUAGUAAUGCUUAUAAUAUAUUUACUUACAAUUUUGCCUCAUUUAUUAAUUAGCAUCAUUACCCAAUCAGGUGAUAAGGACCUUUUGAAUAUUUAUGGGAUGUAUUUUGUAGGUAAAUAGGAUGGAAUUAGUCAACAUAAUAUAUGCCAACUAUAUCAGGCUCAAUAUGGAAAUUAUGCCAUACAAAAUUAUGACAUACCCAUUUAAUUUAAUACAAUACUUUUGAGAAUUUUUUCUUUCUGUAUAAAAAUAGUCUUCACAUAGGUAGAUUAGAUGAUAUAUGUACAAGAAGUGAGGGAACAACAAAAAUAAAAGAUAAGCGUUCGAAAGAAUAUGGUACAAAGGAAAAAGAAAAA
This 1807-nucleotide long non-coding RNA is filed under the name Sus scrofa (pig). RNAcentral's name for it is "lncRNA (ENSSSCG00015001735.1)". The record is from RNAcentral. Lineage: Eukaryota; Metazoa; Chordata; Mammalia; Artiodactyla; Suidae.